GAUGAACGCUGGCGGCGUGCCUUAUACAUGCAAGUCGAGUGGGUUUAGACCCACGGCAAACGGGUGAGUAACACGUAGGUACUUUCCUUGUCACAGGAAUAACCCUCCGAAAGGAGGGCUAAUACCUGAUGUGAUCGCAAGAUUAAAGGGUAUCCGCAAGGAUUACCGGACAAGAAGAGGCCUGCGGCCUAUCAGCUAGGUGGCGGGGUAAAUGCCCACCAAGGCUAUGACGGGUAGCUGGUCUUAUGAGGAUGAUCAGUCACAUGGGCACUGAGACACGGGCCCAACUCCUACGGGAGGCAGCAGUAGGGAAUUUUGCGCAAUGGGCGAAAGCCUGACGCAGCGACGCCGCGUGCGGGAUGAAGGCCUUCGGGUCGUAAACCGCUUUUAUAAGGGACGAACUUUGACGGUACCUUAUGAAUAAGAGGUUGCUAACUCUGUG
Molecule: ribosomal RNA, 442 nt
Filed under: uncultured bacterium
Lineage: Bacteria
Description: partial 16S ribosomal RNA
Rfam family: Bacterial small subunit ribosomal RNA
Source: RNAcentral